GACGAACGCUGGCGGCGUGCCUAAUACAUGCAAGUCGAGCGAACUUUUGGGAGCUUGCUCCCAAAAGUUAGCGGCGGACGGGUGAGUAACACGUGGGCAACCUGCCUGUAAGACUGGGAUAACUUCGGGAAACCGGAGCUAAUACCGGAUAAUUCUUACCAACUCAUGUUGGUAAGCUAAAAGACGGUUUACGCUGUCACUUACAGAUGGGCCCGCGGCGCAUUAGCUAGUUGGUGAGGUAACGGCUCACCAAGGCAACGAUGCGUAGCCGACCUGAGAGGGUGAUCGGCCACACUGGGACUGAGACACGGCCCAGACUCCUACGGGAGGCAGCAGUAGGGAAUCUUCCGCAAUGGACGAAAGUCUGACGGAGCAACGCCGCGUGAGUGAUGAAGGUUUUCGGAUCGUAAAACUCUGUUGUUAGGGAAGAACAAAUUUGUUAGUAACUGAACAAGUCUUGACGGUACCUAACCAGAAAGCCACGGCUAACUACGUGCCAGCAGCCGCGGUAACAC
Molecule: ribosomal RNA, 515 nt
Filed under: uncultured bacterium
Lineage: Bacteria
Description: bacterial SSU rRNA
Rfam family: Bacterial small subunit ribosomal RNA
Source: RNAcentral